CGGAAAUAGCGCAGUGGUAGCGCGCCACCUUGCCAAGGUGGAUGUCGCGGGUUCGAAUCCCGUUUUCCG
Molecule: transfer RNA, 69 nt
Filed under: uncultured Treponema sp.
Lineage: Bacteria; Pseudomonadati; Spirochaetota; Spirochaetia; Treponematales; Treponemataceae
Rfam family: tRNA
About the family: Transfer RNA (tRNA) molecules are approximately 80 nucleotides in length. Their secondary structure includes four short double-helical elements and three loops (D, anti-codon, and T loops).
Source: RNAcentral